Long non-coding RNA from Cervus hanglu yarkandensis (Yarkand deer), 2335 nucleotides. NCBI's taxonomy places the organism in Eukaryota, Metazoa, Chordata, Mammalia, Artiodactyla, Cervidae. The record is from Ensembl.
AUGAGUCAGGCCUGGAAGCAACACCCACGGCCACCAGUGCCUCUGGUCCCUCCGGACGCCUCUCUGCGCCUGCACUUGGCUUCCUUCACCCUUGCUUCCCAUCAGCCUUCCCCAUAUGAUGGCCAGCGGUCCCCGAGUGGGUCUACAGCGCUCAUAGAUCAAAACCUCAGGGCAGAGACUCAUCAGCCAGGUCCCCCAGCACCCCCACCCCAUCGUCAGAGGGCAGUUGAGGACAAGGAAUUGCCCGUGGAAAGACGGCUCCUGAGGGCCCGACUGACCACCCAGGCUGCUCCUGCCCAGCACCCCACCUCGUUCAGAUGAAGCAUCGGCGGGUUUUCCUGACUGGCAAAGUUGUCCUAGAAAGGCACCCUGCCCCUCGCAGACUGACUGGGGGAAGCCAAAACAAAGUGUGAACUCCAAGAGUCUCCUACGUAUUAUGAUGUUCUAUGCUCCGUGGAACACUGCAGUGCGCUUGUUAUGGUUUAUUUCAUAAGUAGAUGCACCUUAAGAACAAUUUAUUCCUAUAUUAAUACCUCUUAAGGGAGACAUCAUCAGCCUGACUAGAAAGCAUGAUUAUGGUAAAGUCCUGGGGAAGACCUGGCAAAGCGAGGCAGCAAAAUCAAUAAAGAAGUAAAGCUGCUCGCGGCACAUUCGCGGAAGGGCUCGAGGGGGCACCCCACCGUGCCACUGAGUCUGCUCGUGGGGUGCCCAGCCCAGCACCCCCUCGCCCCCUGAUGCCCGUCUACAGCACAUGGGAACCGAAGUUGGCUGAGGGCCCAGCCACGUGUGGGGGCUGACGCCACCUUCCCCCAUGGCCUCAGCGAGGAUCCUGCGAGACGGUGGGCAGAGAGCCUCGCCCAGCCCGGCUGACCUGCCUGGCUUGCCCCAGGGAAGGGGGCAGGACGGGUUGGAACCCGCCCUCUGCCUGAAAAGGGUCCUGUCUGCGCCUCUCAUCGCUGGAGGCUGGACCCAGCGACCCACUUUCCAGCUGCGUGGCCUCAGAUGAACGUCUGAAGCCCUCCAUGCCUCGGUUUCCUCAUCUAUGAACCCAGACGACCCUCAGCGCCCUGUGGGGAGGGUUGAGGGGGUUCAUCACAGAGACACGCCCAGAGGGGCACCUGCGCGGGAUGAGCACCCCGUGCGGAAGCUGGCAGCCUCGGCCGGGGACAGCCGUUCCGUCUCUGGGCCGCAGAGUCCUCGUCUGCACAGCAGUGAUCGUAAUCCCAGCGUCGUCAGCAGACACUUAGGCCUGAGCUGGCUGGCAAGGCCAGCCUGUGGCUGACACCGCGUGGGGAAGAGGGCUCGCCUGGUCUCGGCUCCCGAGACGGAGCCCCAGCCCACACUGGGCACCCCACUCCCAUUGCCGCCUAAGCCUUCAGGCUCAUUUGCCUGGAAGGAGGCAGGCCUGCUGCAGCCUCACCAGAAAGGCUCAUUUGGAAAAUGGAAAUGCGUAUCCUAACCCCAUUUGUCACAUUAUCAGCGCUCAUGACAGCCGCGUGGCACUAUCCAAAGGAAAGAUUUAGACCUAACGGGGAAAAAUCAGUUAAAAUUGACAUAUCCAUUAGAAGAUUUUAGAACUGAAAACAUAUUCUUCGCAGAGUGUUAGGAUGACUUCUUAGGUGAUGCUAAAUCAAUAUCUCAUACUUGGGAGGAAUCCAUUAUUUUGUUUUACGAGAACCGUCUGGUUCCGAAAUUCUAUCCUGGUCUGUCAUUCCUAAACCACCCCAGGAAGGCCCAGAUGAAUCCUGCAAUACAUCAGCCAUGGUUCCAACUUGAAACCCCCUCGAAAGGAGAAAAGAUGAGGUGGAAGGCAGAUGAUUUCAAGGUGCCCCCUCCUCACCAAGGGGCCAAGCUCUCCCAACCUGCAUCCUCGGCGUGACGCCAUCAGGGGACCCAGCUCCCGGCUCCAGGCCCACGUCCACCCUCUGGGCCUCUGAUCCAUCAGGGCUGCAACCUCCUGCCCUUGCGGUUUCAGCUGCUCUGGUCGUCAACAAGCAUGAGAGACAAUGGAUCCCAGCGUGGGGCUGAUCACACCGACGGAGGGGAGAGGGACUCCCGCAGCCCAGGAGGUGGAGGGACAGGACAGGGGCAGGGUCUGGAGAGGAGGAAAGGCAGGAGGCCCCCCAGACCCAGCGGCCUCCCGGCCCGGCCCCCUGCCCCCAACCCCAGGGCUGCGGCCUGAACCCAGCAGCGGGCUGCGGUUAACGCACUUGACAGGAAAAUGGAAAAGGUUUCCUUAUAAUUCUUCCCUCUGAAGGGAUGUUUUCACUCAAAUCCAAGGUCUCACCGCAUCGCUGGAACACAGGAGCCUAGGUAUAAAACGUAAGCCUUUGCA